AUUGAACGCUGGCGGCAGGCUUACCACAUGCAAGUCGAGCGAGCGGCGGACGGGUGAGUAAUGUCUGGGAAACUGCCUGAUGGAUGGGGAUAACUACUGGAAACGGUAGCUAAUACCGCAUACCAUCGGAUUUGCCCAGAUGGGAUUAGCUAGUAGGUGGGUUAAAGGCUGACCUAGGCGACGAUCCCUAGAUGGUAUGAGAGGAGUCCCAGCAACACUGGAACGGAGACACGGGCCAGACUCCUACGUGAGGCAGCAGUGGGGAAGAUUGCACAAUGGGCGAAAGUCUGAGGCAGCCAUGCCGCGUGUAUGAUGAAGGCCUUCGGGUUGUAAAGUACUUUCAGCGGGGAGGCGUUACCCGCAGAAGAAGCACCGGCUAACUCCGUGCCAGCAGCCGCGGUAAUAC
Molecule: ribosomal RNA, 406 nt
Filed under: uncultured bacterium
Lineage: Bacteria
Description: partial 16S ribosomal RNA
Rfam family: Bacterial small subunit ribosomal RNA
Source: RNAcentral